GCAACAUGGGGUUCAUUAUCAUUUUCAUUUCCUCUUUAGCUGUUCUGUGGGCGGCUGUCAUUGCAAACAGGGGGAGCAACAAAAGGACCAGAAAUGACGGUCCGUCCGUUUCACUGCGCCUCCGUCCCUUCGUGGACAUCAACGGCCGCUGUCUAUGCGUCAAUAAAUUCGCUCACGUAAACUUGGACGCAUGACGCACCUUCUGUCAAGGCUUUCCGGCAGACCACGUCACGGCAGACGAAGCCAACUUGCUAGCAGACAUCGUCACGUCAACACGGAUGAUUGAACUGAACGCAGCUACUGGAUCGGAGGGACCGACCGCAUGCGGGAAGGAUCGAGUUCCCGUGGACGGACGACACCCGCGGUCGCAUGGGCACUCCCUGCUGGGGCGUCCUCAAGGGCAAGCAACAGCUAGGGGGAGAAACCAGCAAGAACAAGCAUCGAAGUGCAUCGAACAGCAAGAACUGCAUCGGCCUCCACAAGGACAUUUUUUUCUUCGUCAGUGAUUUCAAGUGCGAAGAUGAAAUUUCGGUAAUACGCGAGUAUGUAGUGCAAUAAUUUGCGCGUGAGAUCUGGAAUCGUACUUUCUUUCUUGUAGCACGUCUCAAGUCAGGUACCCAAUGUCAUACUUCUCCAAUAAACGAGAAAGUCCUUCAA
This 657-nucleotide long non-coding RNA is filed under the name Penaeus japonicus. RNAcentral describes it as "uncharacterized LOC122244955". The record is from RNAcentral. Lineage: Eukaryota; Metazoa; Arthropoda; Malacostraca; Decapoda; Penaeidae.